CUAAGCUCCUGUGUACUUCCAACAUUGUGCAGCAGAACACAUUCGCCCUGCAUGCCAAUUUACAGCAUGCUAAUCCAGUCAAUGGUUUACAUUGUUAACCCAGUCAGACUUCACCACAAGCCAUCUCAUGAACUGAGAAAAUUGUGCCCUGAGAGGACAUGAGAUUGGCUUUAAGGUAACAGACCAAAUAGAUAGGAAGGACAGUCAGCUUUGGAAAGAAUGCAGAUUUCUCACUCUGAAGCCACAUUCAGGUUGUAACCCCAGGCUGCCUCUGAAGAAAUGGCCCUCUAUGCUUUGACUUCCUAUGGCAGGACAGUGAGACUUUUCAACAACAGUUUAAGAAGAAAAAAAGGCAGGUUUGCAGUUCUGCCAUGUGAAAUUGCAGUCAGUCAAGCGUGGUAACUUUUCAAGGGCCACACCGUGAGCUGUUUCCGGAGUGGGGAAAACCUUGAUUUCAUUGGAAGCUGAAAUCCCUGAAGAAGACCUCCGUGAAGGUUCAUGAUCCACGCAUGUGUGGAGGCUCUGAAAAGAAAACAAUUUCCCUCCUCUCCAGACAGGAGUUCCCUCCCGAAGGAGUGAGCUGGCUGUGGAGAGGGAAAGGCAGGCCCAAACUGGAUCCUUCUUGCAGAGCUGGAAGUGAUGGCACCCAUCUCAGGAAUCCGAGAGUUUGGGAGAAUCCAGUGAUGUUUGCGAUGCCGUGGGCCCCAUAUGCAUGCAGAAAGAUGUGCAACCUCUACACUAAUGAAGAAAGGAAAGCAAUCUGAGCACGGAGGAAUAGUUUUCUAGUAGAAAUUAAAAAGACUGAAAGCUUUCAUUGUUGUCAAGGACAUGGGGUGUUAAGCACAGUACAAGACAGCAUAUCCUUUGGUAGAGCGAUGUAGUCAUAGCCAUCAAAGUUUUAAAACUCACGCAUCCUUUGAGGUAUAAUCCAUUUCAGAAAAUGCAUCUUAUAAAAAUAUAAAUCCUAUGAUAUUUUCAAUAUACAAAAGCAGUAAUUCCAAAUGAUUCAACUUUAAUACAAGGGAAUUCAUUAUAGCAUCUUGCAGUGAUGACAGUUUGGAAAGUGACAAUGUUCAGCAGGAGGAAGCUGAUUAAAUAGUGGCACACAUCAUAUGAAGUUUUUAAAGACUGUGACACAUGCCUGCAAUCCCAGCUACAUAGGAGGUUGAGGUAGGAGGAUCACAAGUUCAAGGUCAGCCUAAGCAACUUAUCAAGACCCUGUCUUAAAAUUUAAAAACAAAAAAAUUAAAAGGGUUGAGGAUAUAGCUCAGUGGUUGAGUGCCCCUGAGUUCAAUCCUCAGUACUUCCAAAACAAAAC
This 1318-nucleotide long non-coding RNA is filed under the name Fukomys damarensis (Damara mole-rat). RNAcentral describes it as "lncRNA (ENSFDAG00000026309.1)". The record is from RNAcentral. Lineage: Eukaryota; Metazoa; Chordata; Mammalia; Rodentia; Bathyergidae.